Molecule: unclassified non-coding RNA, 399 nt
Filed under: Hevea brasiliensis (rubber tree)
Lineage: Eukaryota; Viridiplantae; Streptophyta; Magnoliopsida; Malpighiales; Euphorbiaceae
Source: RNAcentral
GCUGUGUGUUUUUCUUCUGAUUUUUGCCUUACCAUAGAAAUCUUCUUUACCAUCUUUGCUUGAGCUUGGGCUCGCAUUUGUUCAACUUGUGCCUCUAUUCUCCGCAUCUCGGCCCCUAGUUUUGCCUUCUGCUGACUUUCCCAUGCUUGAAUUUUAAUCUCUUCACCUUUAUAUCUUGCUGUGUGUUUAGAUUUUUCAGCUUCUUCCCAGGCAGAUGCACGUUUUUCAUAUUCAAUCCGCUCAAGCUCAUCCACAUGAGCACUCUCAACUGCAGAUGUAUUCUUUUCCUGUUCUUCUUUACUUGCCCAUGCAGCAAUAUUCAUCUUGCCUAGCUGGACACCUAGGGCCACAAUCUCCUUUCUUGUCCUCAGUUUCAUUUCUUGCUCGGUCAACUCUUUU